AAAACGACUCUCGGCAACGGAUAUCUCGGCUCUCGCAUCGAUGAAGAACGUAGCGAAAUGCGAUACCUGGUGUGAAUUGCAGAAUCCCGUGAACCAUCGAGUCUUUGAACGCAAGUUGCGCCCGAGGCCAUCCGGCUAAGGGCACGCCUGCCUGGGCGUCACGC
RNAcentral lists this ribosomal RNA (164 nucleotides) under Sidalcea glaucescens. Its description in RNAcentral is "5.8S ribosomal RNA". It matches the Rfam family "5.8S ribosomal RNA". From Rfam's summary of the family: 5.8S ribosomal RNA (5.8S rRNA) is a component of the large subunit of the eukaryotic ribosome. Lineage: Eukaryota; Viridiplantae; Streptophyta; Magnoliopsida; Malvales; Malvaceae. The record is from RNAcentral.